RNAcentral lists this ribosomal RNA (1204 nucleotides) under uncultured organism. RNAcentral's name for it is "bacterial SSU rRNA". It matches the Rfam family "Bacterial small subunit ribosomal RNA", at positions 111 to 1292 of the family's 1533-position model. The record is from RNAcentral.
UAACGCGUGGGUAAUCUGCCCUUAGGUUUGGGAUAACCCCGGGAAACCGGAGCUAAUACCGAAUAAGACCACGAUGACCUCGGUUGACGUGAGAAAAGAUGGCCUCUUCUUGAAAGCUAUCGCCAAAGGAUGAGCCCGCGUUUGAUUAGCUUGUUGGUGAGGUAAAGGCUCACCAAGGCUCCGAUCAAUAGCUGGUCUGAGAGGAUGAUCAGCCACACUGGAACUGAGACACGGUCCAGACUCCUACGGGAGGCAGCAGUCGGGAAUAUUGGGCAAUGGGCGAAAGCCUGACCCAGCAACGCCGCGUGAAGGAUGAAGGCCUUCGGGUCGUAAACUUCUGUCGAGAGGGAAGAAAGCGUGCGGGUGAAUAAUCCGUACGUCUGACGGUACCUCCAAAGGAAGCACCGGCUAACUCCGUGCCAGCAGCCGCGGUAAUACGGAGGGUGCAAGCGUUGUUCGGAAUUAUUGGGCGUAAAGCGAGUGUAGGCGGUUUGGCAAGUCGGAUGUGAAAGCCCAGGGCCCAACCCUGGAAUUGCAUCCGAUACUGUCAGGCUAGAGUCCCGGAGAGGGUGGCGGAAUUCCCGGUGUAGGGGUGAAAUCCGUAGAUAUCGGGAGGAACACCAGUGGCGAAGGCGGCCACCUGGACGGUGACUGACGCUGAGACUCGAAAGCGUGGGUAGCAAACAGGAUUAGAUACCCUGGUAGUCCACGCCGUAAACGGUGAGUGCUCGUCGUCGUGGGUAUUGACCCCUGCGGUGACCAAGUUAACGCAUGAAGCACUCCGCCUGGGAAGUACGGUCGCAAGACUAAAACUCAAAGAAAUUGACGGGGGCCCGCACAAGCGGUGGAGCAUGUUGUUUAAUUCGAAGCAACGCGCAGAACCUUACCUGGAUUUGACAUCCUCGGAAUCUCUCUGAAAGGAGAGAGUGCCUUCGGGAGCCGAGAGACAGGUGCUGCAUGGCUGUCGUCAGCUCGUGUCGUGAGGUGUUGGGUUAAGUCCCGCAACGAGCGCAACCCCUAUCGUUAGUUGCUAGCAGUUCGGCUGAGCACUCUAGCGAGACUGCCGGUGUUAAACCGGAGGAAGGUGGGGAUGACGUCAAGUCCUCAUGGCCUUUAUGUCCAGGGCUACUAACGUGCUACAAUGGUCGGUACAGACGGUCGCGAACCCGCGAGGGCAAGCCAAUCCUAAAAAGCCGGCCUCAGU